RNAcentral lists this transfer RNA (87 nucleotides) under Deltaproteobacteria bacterium. Its description in RNAcentral is "tRNA-Leu". It matches the Rfam family "tRNA". Rfam says of the family: Transfer RNA (tRNA) molecules are approximately 80 nucleotides in length. Their secondary structure includes four short double-helical elements and three loops (D, anti-codon, and T loops). Lineage: Bacteria; Pseudomonadati; Myxococcota; Myxococcia. The record is from RNAcentral.
GCGAGGAUGGCGGAACCGGCAGACGCGCUAGUUUGAGGGGCUAGUGGGGUAACUCCCGUAGGGGUUCAAGUCCCCUUCCUCGCACCA